GGGGAUGUUCUGGUUUUGACAGCAAUGAUUCCGGGUGGUAAGCACGCCGGGCUUCUGAGAGAUCUGCCCGUAAAAACCGUUCUCUUAACAAUUUAGUUGCCAACAACAACUACGCACUCGCUGCCUAAUCGACUAUGGGUCGUUUAGCUUAAUCCCGGCCGCCAAGGCUGCGGCCCGGACGAGUAUCCCGCGGACUUUACGCCUUCUAUGUUCCGAGUUCGGGGUAUCAUUCAAGAGGGACGCUCCGGUGGACUCCUUUAAAACCGGCUAAGACUUAAAGGAUAAGCUUCGGUUAGCCCGCCUUCCGGCAGGCCGCGGCCGACAAUCAAAGGAAGGAUAAGCGUGUAGAAAGCUGCUGGGUGCGUUGUUUGGACGGCGGUUCGACUCCGCCCAUCUCCACA
This 401-nucleotide transfer-messenger RNA is filed under the name bovine gut metagenome. It matches the Rfam family "transfer-messenger RNA". Rfam says of the family: Bacterial tmRNA, also known as 10Sa RNA or SsrA, is named for its dual tRNA and mRNA-like properties. Its role is to liberate the mRNA from a stalled ribosome. The record is from RNAcentral.